RNAcentral lists this ribosomal RNA (364 nucleotides) under uncultured Pseudomonas sp. RNAcentral's name for it is "bacterial SSU rRNA". It matches the Rfam family "Bacterial small subunit ribosomal RNA", at positions 1016 to 1382 of the family's 1533-position model. The record is from RNAcentral. Lineage: Bacteria; Pseudomonadati; Pseudomonadota; Gammaproteobacteria; Pseudomonadales; Pseudomonadaceae.
UUCGGGAACGUCUGACACAGGUGCUGCAUGGCUGUCGUCAGCUCGUGUCGUGAGAUGUUGGGUUAAGUCCGUAACGAGCGCAACCCUUGUCCUUAGUUACCAGCACGUUAUGUGGGCACUCUAAGGAGACUGCCGGUGACAAACCGGAGGAAGGUGGGGAUGACGUCAAGUCAUCACUGGCCCUUACGGCCUGGGCUACACACGUGCUACAAUGGUCGGUACAAAGGGUUGCCAAGCCGCGAGGUGGAGCUAAUCCCAUAAAACCGAUCGUAGUCCGGAUCGCAGUCUGCAACUCGACUGCGUGAAGUCGGAAUCGCUAGUAAUCGUGAAUCAGAAUGUCACGGUGAAUACGUUCCCGGGCCUU